AGGUUCUGUAAUACAGAAUGAAGGCCAACCUAUGUGUGGCUUCUCUCUCUCUCCCUCUUUUCAAUUUCCUUCUCUCUCUUUUGUAUUGAAUCUUGAUUGUGAAUGUUAACAUGGUAUCAGAGCAGGCUCAAUCUCCUUCAUUGAGUUGCAGCCACCGUCGCGAGUAGUUUCUGCGUGCGUCAUUGGGCCACUGCCGCCGUCACAGCCACUCAGUCGUCUCCUUCAACCUUCACCCUUGGCGUCCACGCACAGCUGAAGCAGCCCCGGUGUCGCUUCUGAAAUUAGAUACCGUCAUCCUCCCGGUGGACUCCGGCAAGACCAAGAACUAUUCUUUACCAUCACGAACCACAAGCUCACGAUCAUCAGCGCCGAUGCCUCCUAUACCAAGCCCUUCACCACCUCCGUCAUUAUGCUCGGCACUGGCCAGACCACCGACGUUCUAAUUGUAAAGGGUAUCGGUAUAAUCAGAGGACUACGCCGGUUCAAAUCACCGAGUCGUAUGAAUCGGGUAGAGAGAUCUGAAAUUGGGUUUUUUUUUUUGGCAUUUCUUCUCUGGCAUGUGUUGGAUCAGCAUGCAUAAGCCCACCAUGAUCCCCACCCGCUUCUGCAAGUCUCCGCUGUAGAUUUUGUUGCUGAAAGGAACGAGAUCGUCGAGGGAAUCGACGUAUUUCUGGCUUAAUCGGAGAUAAGUAGGACUUCCACGGUCGCGCUCAUUGAUCUCGUAGACGUGGAGCUCCUGAACUUUAGUGGGUUUCCGAGAAUCGGAAGUCCGUGAAGCCUUUGUGGCCUUCGAUCACCGUCAUCGCCUUCACAACUUCGUGUUGCUUGAAAUCAAUAAGUGUUUGCUGUUUGAAAUCAAUUUCUUCACCGAUCGUUGAUGGAAUCAGAAAUCUGAAGUUACCACGAGGAUCAUGGAAGGAGACUCUACAAGUUCUACGAAUUGGAAUUCCGUUUCGGAGUUUUUGGGUUUUCGGUGUAAAAUCGAGGUUUUGGAACACGGUUCUCUAUUUAGGAGCCUUGGAGUUCAGGAUUUGAUAUUCGGGGAAAAGGUCCUUCGAGUAACUAGAAUUAGCGUCCUGGUGUAGGGAACGUAGUGGCCGGUGUACUGCGUUUAGUGCUGGAUAAGUGCUACGACUGUAAUUUUGGUGGGUUGCCAUUUUGGGAUGUGUUGGGCACCCGUUUGUACAUUUUGAAAGAGCAUUGUGUCUGCUCUUGUAUAGAUUCUGGUAUGGUACUACAUAUGUAUAUAUGAUUUUUCCACUGCGUAUAUGAUUGUGUUUGGAA
Long non-coding RNA from Malania oleifera, 1284 nucleotides. RefSeq lists it as uncharacterized. NCBI's taxonomy places the organism in Eukaryota, Viridiplantae, Streptophyta, Magnoliopsida, Santalales, Ximeniaceae. The record is from RefSeq and is a predicted model, not a curated record. The transcript has 4 exons.